UAAUCUGAUUUAACCCUCGAUCACUGUUUAGCCGUAUGUAACGUAACACACACCAGAUAUUGAUUUAAUUGCUUCUUUCAUGCUUCUUGUAACCUUCUGUUGAUAUGACACACAUCUACAUCCAGUUUGGCUACAAGAAUCAAAUGUUUUGCGUUUUCUGAAGCAACAAACCAUCCAGGCAGAUAACAGCCCAGUAUUAUUAAUGCAUUUUUUUUUUAGACGUCCAUAUUUCACUGCAGAAUCAGCGGACAGAAGUAACUCUUGUGCAAAAGAGUUCAAGCAUCAAGAAUCCAAACCUGCAUGCAAACUUGCUGCUCUUCCAGAGUGUCUACUAGGUUCUCAUCAGCGACAUCCAGAGGGGUUUGGCCCUACAAGGACAUUCAAAGCGCAUGAGCUGACAUGAGGAGUCUCUCCAUGGCGUCCUCAGUGGCCACGUCCAGAGGGAGCUGACCUUCACUGUUCACUGCUCCAACAUGUGCACCGUGCUCGAUCAGUUCAGUGCGUGUUUGGUCAUGAGUAAAUGUCCAGUCUCUUGGAAGCUGAUGUGACGGUGUGGUGACGGCCGGCACUCACUUGGAGAUCUGGAUGAAGCCACAGGAAGCUGCGGCGUGGAGCGGAGUCCAGCCCUCGUUGUCCCCUCGGUUAACAUCGCUCCCGCUCUCCACCAGAAACUGCACCAUCUCAGCAUUUUCAUCAAUACAGGCCUGCCAGAGGACACACACACAGACACACACACACACACACACACACACACACACACACACACACACAUACAUACACAUUAUGAAUACAAGUGUCUGAUUAGGGAGACACA
Molecule: long non-coding RNA, 814 nt
Organism: Myripristis murdjan (pinecone soldierfish)
Lineage: Eukaryota; Metazoa; Chordata; Actinopteri; Holocentriformes; Holocentridae
Exons: 4
Source: RefSeq, a predicted model, not a curated record